Molecule: ribosomal RNA, 843 nt
Filed under: Rhizosphaera oudemansii
Lineage: Eukaryota; Fungi; Ascomycota; Dothideomycetes; Dothideales; Dothideaceae
Description: eukaryotic LSU rRNA
Rfam family: Eukaryotic large subunit ribosomal RNA
Source: RNAcentral
UAACGGCGAGUGAAGCGGCAAUAGCUCAAAUUUGAAAGCUGGCCUUCUGGUCCGCAUUGUAAUUUGUAGAGGAUGCUUUUAGGCAGCCGCCGGUCUAAGUUCCUUGGAACAGGACGUCAUAGAGGGUGAGAAUCCCGUAUGUGACCGGCUCAGGCACCUUCUGUAAAGCUCCUUCGACGAGUCGAGUUGUUUGGGAAUGCAGCUCUAAAUGGGAGGUAAAUUUCUUCUAAAGCUAAAUACUGGCGAGAGACCGAUAGCGCACAAGUAGAGUGAUCGAAAGAUGAAAAGCACUUUGGAAAGAGAGUUAAAAAGCACGUGAAAUUGUUGAAAGGGAAGCGCUUGCAAUCAGACUUGGCCUAGAGUGUUCAACCGGUCUUCUGACCGGCCUAUUCAUUCUGGGCCAGGCCAGCAUCAGUUUUGGCGGCCGGAUAAAGGCCUUGGGAAUGUGGCUUUCUCUUCGGGGGAAGUGUUAUAGCCCAGGGUGUAAUACGGCCAGCCGGGACUGAGGUCCGCGCUUCGGCUAGGAUGCUGGCGUAAUGGUUGUAAGCGGCCCGUCUUGAAACACGGACCAAGGAGUCUAACAUCUAUGCGAGUGUUAGGGUGUCAAACCCUUACGCGUAAUGAAAGUGAACGGAGGUGGGAACCCGCAAGGGUGCACCAUCGACCGAUCCUGAUGUCUUCGGAUGGAUUUGAGUAAGAGCAUAGCUGUUGGGACCCGAAAGAUGGUGAACUAUGCCUGAAUAGGGUGAAGCCAGAGGAAACUCUGGUGGAGGCUCGCAGCGGUUCUGACGUGCAAAUCGAUCGUCAAAUUUGGGUAUAGGGGCGAAAGACUAAUCGAACCAU